UCACGGGGCGCCAUCUUGAGGCGGUGGCGGCUGAGGGGAGCGUUUCCUCCUCGUCGCUCCCGGUUUUCCCCGGUGGGGCCGCAUCGCUCCGUGUCCCGUUCCCCCCCCCCCCCACCCCGCCCCGCCCCGGUAUUAAAAGCUGCCUGAGGGCGCGGGCUCUGCCGCCUCAGCGGGUGCGAGGAGGGGUGGAGGGCGCGGAAAGCAGCGGUGGCGGUGGGAAUGUGGCCGGGUGCGGCUGAGGAGAUGAUGGCUGACGGGGGGGGGGGGGUGCGGGGGGGUUUGUGGGGAGUAUGGCUGAGGGGGGUACGGCCCGUCGUGAGGGAGGGCAGGCGGCCCUCAGCCGGCUGUCCCCACCGCCACACAGGCAGGGUUGUGCAGCCGGGAGGGGGAUGUUCCCCAAAAAGCCAUUUUCUGGGCGCUCUUGAGGGGCCUCCUGGCCCUGUACCGGCUGUGGGCAGCCAUCGAGGGCUGCUGGCAGGAACCUGGGAGCUGCUAACUGCUGCUGGGUGUACCUCCUUUUUUCUGAGGUGUAAUGUGACUUCAAAUGAACUCAUGCCAGUCAGGCAGGAUGCUGAGCGUGACCUGAGCACAUUCUGCUGGAAGAAGGCUGCGGGACGGGGAAAGAGCCGUGUCCAUCCAGCCGGGACCUACGGUGAGGGCGGCAGGAACGCCGUCAGCGACGGUUCCCACUUCUUCGCUGGAAACUACGGCAAACGCGUUUGUUGUGGGGCCAUUCACCGAAACAGCUAACACAAACAAUUGUGCAAGCUGAGCUGGGACCUCGUGUCUUCAUUCCUCCUCCCGCUUACCGUUUUGUGGUCGGAAAGCCGAAAUCGGUGGGCAGGCAGCCUGCGAGCCGCCCGGGGCAGAGCCAGCCGCUGCCAGCCACGCACACCGUGCUUAGCAAACGAUGAACGCGUCGGGGAAGUUUAUGAGUUAUUCAUGGGCCGUUUUGCAAACAGAACGAGCUGAUCAAUAAUUAACCGGAGGCAGCAGCGGGUGCGUGGCCUGGACCGGUACGUGGCUCGGUGGCCGCGAGCUGCUCACCCGGCCACCCUGGGCUUCCCCGUCCCGGGGAUCGCUCGACCUCAGCCCCCCCAAUUCCUUCGAGGAUGCGUGUCCCCUCCCUGGGGCGACGCUUUCUGAGUUCUUCUACCUGCAACGGCAGAAGCUCCCCCCAGCCCCGAGCAGAGCAAAUCUUCAGGUAGCGCGUUUUCCCGCAGAGCGUUUCGGAGGCUCCUUCCAGCGCGUCCAGCAAACCUCGCGCAAUCAGCAGGACUCCAACGUGCCCACGGAUGCUCCUCACCGGGGCCGAAGGCGGAGGACGGGGAGCCUCCGUGCAAGCCACGGUGCUCCUCGGGCGCUCGGGUGGACGACUGGCAGCAGAGCUCCUUUCCAGAAACAGGCUGUUCUCCGUGCGAUGGAGGUUGCGCUAUUUAAUAUUCUAACAGAAGGCAACAUAAUUGCAGCUUAAUCUAAUUAAUGAAUCCUGGUAAGAGCCACUCCAAUAUUUCCUGUUCAAUACUUGCACUGCAGUUGGUAUUGGGCGCUCGGCACGGAGCGAUGAGUUGGCGAGACAAAACUGGCCACCCACGGUAAGGGACACUCCGCACAUGCGGACGCUGCGGCCAAAUGGGGGAAAAUGCAAAAUAAACAGCACGGACGGCCAUCUGCCACUUCCGAAGCAGCAGCCAACGCUAACACCCCAUUAGGACACGGACCAAAAGCACAAAUCUGGUGGUUUGGCCACCAGCGAUUUUCAUUUUUCUCCAGAAAAGGGUUCUGGCAUUUGUUAAAAAAGAAAAAAAAAAGAAAAAGGAAGAGGCCCAAGGGACUUGAGGACUUGUUUAAAUAAUAGAAAGGCUGCUGCUGCCCGUUUUGUUUAUGUCAUCAGAAAAGGUUACAGCUUUGAACUUACUCACGGGCAACCACAGCGCUGACUUAAAAAUGCAGCAGAGCUGCAAUGUUGCUGGUUUGCUCACCUUUCUGGAGCGGAGACUCUCGUGGGAUGACUGCAUCCAAGCAGGCUCUUCGCUCACUCCCCUGUUUCGGAACCAGGGCUGCUGACCUCAGAACUAGCUGAUUAGUUUUUAUUUUUAAUAUAGAAAUAGGAGAAGGCAAGAAUCGUAACAUUUCCCUUCCCCAAAACAUUUGAUGUGCUGCAGCCCACUCCUAUGUCUAGGAAAUGCUGCUGGAAAUCCAAUAAAGCACAAACCAGGGGUGAGUGUCACCCGUCCCGGCUGUAACCGAAGCACAUCCUCCUGGUCUGAGGCCUCCUCCAGACACCGGGACUAAUUAAUUGGUUUUUAAAAACAUUUUACUAUGUUUUGUAACAUUAAACCCUAAGGUGAUUCUGUUAUAAUUCUAUAAAUCACAAAUCUUUUCUUAUGAUAGAUUUAAUUUUCUGUUUACUGAGCUAUCCUACGUUUUCCCUGUUCCAAUCUCCAGCCAGUGAGAAACUCCAAGAAAAUGCAUUCAUGCAGUCCCUCUUGUGUUUUACCUUUAUGUCUAAUUAUAUUUUAUAUAUGUAGGAUAAAUGUGUGUGAAAUAGCCCAGUGGCAUAGCCAGCUCAGUUUCCACAAGGUAGUGAUUUAUUAAGGGCUAUUUAAUUAACAGAAAAAGCCUCGUUUCUGCCAGCAUAACCCCCACUUUGCCAGGUCUGGCCAGGCAAGGGUUUUGCCUGCUGCAGUCCUGCGACUGCGAUGAAGCCGGGCCACGGAGAGGGGAAGAAGGUUUCCCCGUACUGUCAUUGCGAGAGAAGCAUGUAGAUGUGUAAGUGCCUGAUCUAGACAUGUUGGGAUUGUCGGAUAAUUCCUGUUUAACCACUUCUAACUCGCUGCAUUUCCCCAUCAAAUACCGGAUGGGUCAUUUGAGCACCUUCUCUCGCAUCUCCCUGUCUCUUAUUCGUGUUGAAACCCAAACCAUUCCCCCUUGCCAGAAUCUUGGAAAAUGAGUAUAACGAGUAAAUGAGUGUAUGAGUUGAAAUACUGUGUCACACGAGUUUUCUUAAUGUUUAAAAAGAUGUUAUUUCAUUGCUACUCCAGAAAUAAACUUGCAUGACGUUUUCGGCAGGACACGGCGUGGGUUUGGCCGGCUCAGCUGGGGAGGAGAGCAGGCGCUGCGGUGACUGCUGGGCUGUACGGGGUCUUAGCCUGCAUUUAGGAACUACCCCAAAAUGAACAUCAUCUUGUCCGAAAGGUCGCGCGUAAAAUAGCUCUGCGGUUAAAGCACUACAGGUCCUCUUUCGGUUGCGGCCCCACUACUUCAACGUCCCACUGUGGGCUUCAGCUGAACUACUCCAGGCUGACACGCUGGGCAGGAUCCGUCCCCGUCCGCUCGCCAAACCACGUCGGCGAGUGGCAUCGGUACGGGGCAACUGAGCUCAUGAGAAAAUGCCAUAACAGCUUGGAUGGCUCCAUCGCUCCUGCUUCCAACGCAGAAACAAGGGCUCCGCAAAGCUUACUGCAACGCCUUGGCACGGGAGUGUGAACAACCGUGGGUUUCUCGGGGUUGUUAUUGUCAUUACUUUUAUCCUUAUCGUUGCAAUUAUUGAUGUUAGUGUGUCACAGGAGGUUGCUGGAAGGACUCCACUAUUACAGCGGGGUUUUCGAGUAGCUUCAUUAAUACUAGUGCUAAUGCGCAGGAGUGAUUUGUGUGAUUGACAGUUCAGGCAACGAAGUUUACCUUGUUUCAGCGUGGGGCUUGAUGGGACAGGGCUCUGGCUCUGGCGACCAGGCAGGUCCCGGCAGUGCCGUCUCCCAAAGCCCCCGAGGACGGCGGUGCCGUGGUCCGCUGCCGGGCACCGCCGCCGUGCUUCGGAAAGAACGGCUCCAUCACGGGGGACGCCUGCUCUGAAGGUCAUCCCGGUCAGAGGGAACAGACGUUAACCAUUGCUGCUUCUUACGUAUUUUAGAGGAAAGAAAGCUCAGUUGAAAAAGCUGAAGGAAUGUCACCGACUGCAUUCUACAUCUGUUACAUCUCAGAAUAAUUUAUUUUAACCUCUGAAGAUACAAGGGAAAAUAUUUGAAGGAGAUGGAGACUUGCCAGUAUUUCCAGUUCAUUAUAAGCAAAGAACUGUUGCUUAUAGCACUUUUUUGGAGCAGAGAGUAGUCUGGUUUUAAAUCCCUCAAGCAAUGAGGAAUCACGUACUCGCCAAUGGAAAUUGUUCUUCAGUAAAGAAUUUGCUAAUUAAAAAAGUUUAAUUUUUAAA
Long non-coding RNA from Aquila chrysaetos chrysaetos, 4210 nucleotides. RefSeq lists it as uncharacterized. Lineage: Eukaryota; Metazoa; Chordata; Aves; Accipitriformes; Accipitridae. The transcript has 3 exons. The record is from RefSeq and is a predicted model, not a curated record.